Camelus ferus (Wild Bactrian camel) is the source of this 72-nucleotide transfer RNA. It matches the Rfam family "tRNA". Rfam says of the family: Transfer RNA (tRNA) molecules are approximately 80 nucleotides in length. Their secondary structure includes four short double-helical elements and three loops (D, anti-codon, and T loops). Lineage: Eukaryota; Metazoa; Chordata; Mammalia; Artiodactyla; Camelidae. The record is from Rfam.
GAGGGUAUAGCUCAGUGGUAGAGCACGUGCUUAGCAUGCACGAGGUCCUGGGUUCAAUCCCCAGUACCUCCA